GCGGCAGGCCUAACACAUGCAAGUCGAACGGUAACAGGAAACAGCUUGCUGUUUCGCUGACGAGUGGCGGACGGGUGAGUAAUGUCUGGGAAACUGCCUGAUGGAGGGGGAUAACUACUGGAAACGGUAGCUAAUACCGCAUAACGUCGCAAGACCAAAGAGGGGGACCUUCGGGCCUCUUGCCAUCAGAUGUGCCCAGAUGGGAUUAGCUAGUAGGUGGGGUAACGGCUCACCUAGGCGACGAUCCCUAGCUGGUCUGAGAGGAUGACCAGCCACACUGGAACUGAGACACGGUCCAGACUCCUACGGGAGGCAGCAGUGGGGAAUAUUGCACAAUGGGCGCAAGCCUGAUGCAGCCAUGCCGCGUGUAUGAAGAAGGCCUUCGGGUUGUAAAGUACUUUCAGCGGGGAGGAAGGGAGUAAAGUUAAUACCUUUGCUCAUUGACGUUACCCGCAGAAGAAGCACCGGCUAACUCCGUGCCAGCAGCCGCGGUAAUACGGAGGGUGCAAGCGUUAAUCGGAAUUACUGGGCGUAAAGCGCACGCAGGCGGUUUGUUAAGUCAGAUGUGAAAUCCCCGGGCUCAACCUGGGAACUGCAUCUGAUACUGGCAAGCUUGAGUCUCGUAGAGGGGGGUAGAAUUCCAGGUGUAGCGGUGAAAUGCGUAGAGAUCUGGAGGAAUACCGGUGGCGAAGGCGGCCCCCUGGACGAAGACUGACGCUCAGGUGCGAAAGCGUGGGGAGCAAACAGGAUUAGAUACCCUGGUAGUCCACGCCGUAAACGAUGUCGACUUGGAGGUUGUGCCCUUGAGGCGUGGCUUCCGGAGCUAACGCGUUAAGUCGACCGCCUGGGGAGUACGGCCGCAAGGUUAAAACUCAAAUGAAUUGACGGGGGCCCGCACAAGCGGUGGAGCAUGUGGUUUAAUUCGAUGCAACGCGAAGAACCUUACCUGGUCUUGACAUCCACGGAAGUUUUCAGAGAUGAGAAUGUGCCUUCGGGAACCGUGAGACAGGUGCUGCAUGGCUGUCGUCAGCUCGUGUUGUGAAAUGUUGGGUUAAGUCCCGCAACGAGCGCAACCCUUAUCCUUUGUUGCCAGCGGUCCGGCCGGGAACUCAAAGGAGACUGCCAGUGAUAAACUGGAGGAAGGUGGGGAUGACGUCAAGUCAUCGUGGCCCUUACGACCAGGGCUACACACGUGCUACAAUGGCGCAUACAAAGAGAAGCGACCUCGCGAGAGCAAGCGGACCUCAUAAAGUGCGUCGUAGUCCGGAUUGGAGUCUGCAACUCGACUCCAUGAAGUCGGAAUCGCUAGUAAUCGUGGAUCAGAAUGCCACGGUGAAUACGUUCCCGGGCCUUGUACACACCGCCCGUCACACCAUGGGAGUGGGUUGCAAAAGAAGUAGGUAGCUUAACCUUCGGGAGGGCGCUUACCACUUUGUGAUUCAUGACUGGGGUGAAGUCGUAACAAGGUAACCGUAGGGGAACCUGCGGUUG
This 1491-nucleotide ribosomal RNA is filed under the name metagenome. RNAcentral's name for it is "bacterial SSU rRNA". It matches the Rfam family "Bacterial small subunit ribosomal RNA". The record is from RNAcentral.